GGGGUGAGAAAAAGCAAAGCAAACAAGCUUGCUUCACCAAAGAAAAAGUCUCAGACUCAGACACUAAGAAUGCGCAAUGAACAAGAAACCUGAAGUUUCUGCCCUCGUGAAGCUGGGAAAAGAGGACAAUAAGCAAACCACUUAGUACAUCACUUGUCAUCUUGAUGAAAGUCAUCUUUCUAGAUCUCACUUUGCUCUCUAUACAACUAGAAAGUUGGAAGAAAUAAUUUUAUAUGAUGUAUCCAAACUUUUGAAGAAUUGCAUGAAAACAGGCAUAGUCUGACAUUUGAGUCUCAUAUUUAAAACUGCAA
This is a long non-coding RNA of Lontra canadensis (Northern American river otter), 311 nucleotides long. RefSeq lists it as uncharacterized. The record is from RefSeq and is a predicted model, not a curated record. Lineage: Eukaryota; Metazoa; Chordata; Mammalia; Carnivora; Mustelidae. The transcript is spliced from 4 exons.